Molecule: ribosomal RNA, 451 nt
Filed under: uncultured bacterium
Lineage: Bacteria
Description: partial 16S ribosomal RNA
Rfam family: Bacterial small subunit ribosomal RNA
Source: RNAcentral
GAUGAACGCUGGCGGCGUGCCUAAUACAUGCAAGUCGAACGAGGUCUUCGGACCUAGUGGCGAACGGGUGAGUAACUCGUUGGUACCUACCCCGAAGUGGGGAAUAACUGCCCGAAAGGGUGGCUAAUACCGCAUAAUACCGCAAGGUUAAAGCAGUAAUGCGCUUCGGGAGGGGCCUGCGUCCCAUUAGCUAGGUGGUAGGGUAAUGGCCUACCAAGGCGACGAUGGGUAGCUGGAUCGAGAGGUUGACCAGCCACACUGGGACUGAGAUACGGCCCAGACUCCUACGGGAGGCAGCUGUAAGGAAUCUUCCACAAUGGACGAAAGUCUGAUGGAGCAACGCCGCGUGCAGGAUGACGGCCUUCGGGUUGUAAACUGCUUUUAUACGGGAAGAUUAUGACGGUACCGUAUGAAUAAGGACCGGCUAACUACGUGCCAGCCGCCGCCGUAA